Molecule: ribosomal RNA, 492 nt
Filed under: uncultured bacterium
Lineage: Bacteria
Description: partial 16S ribosomal RNA
Rfam family: Bacterial small subunit ribosomal RNA
Source: RNAcentral
AGUGAACGCUGGCGGUAGGCCUAACACAUGCGAGUCGAACGGCAGCACAGUAAGAGCUUGCUCUUACGGGUGGCGAGUGGCGGACGGGUGAGGAAUACAUCGGAAUCUACUUUUUCGUGGGGGAUAACGUAGGGAAACUUACGCUAAUACCGCAUACGACCUACGGGUGAAAGCAGGGGAUCUUCGGACCUUGCGCGAUUGAAUUAGCCGACGUCGGGCUAGCUAGUUUGGAGGGUAAAGGCCCACCAAGGCAACGAUCCGUAGCUGGUCUGAGAGGAUGAGCGGCCAAAGUGGAACUGAGACACGGUCCAGAUGCCGACGGCAGGCAGCAGUAGGGAAGAUGCCGCAAUGGGCGAAAGCCGGACGGAGCAACGACGCGUGAGGGAAGAAGGUCUUCGGAUCGUAAAACUCUGUUAUUAGGGAAGAAAAAAAGUGUAAGUAACUAUGCACGUCUUGACGGUACCUAAUCAGAAAGCCACGGCUAACUACGUG